This 876-nucleotide ribosomal RNA is filed under the name uncultured Alkalibacterium sp. Its description in RNAcentral is "bacterial SSU rRNA". It matches the Rfam family "Bacterial small subunit ribosomal RNA", at positions 28 to 884 of the family's 1533-position model. Lineage: Bacteria; Bacillati; Bacillota; Bacilli; Lactobacillales; Carnobacteriaceae. The record is from RNAcentral.
GACGAACGCUGGCGGUAUGCCUAAUACAUGCAAGUCGAACGCUGAAGCACUCUGCUUGCAGAGUGUAGAUGAGUGGCGAACGGGUGAGUAACACGUGGGGAACCUGCCCAUAAGAGGGGGAUAACAUCCGGAAACGGGUGCUAAUACCGCAUAGGUGAUCAUAGCGCAUGCUUAGAUCAUUAAAGAUGGCUUCGGCUAUCGCUUAUGGAUGGCCCCGCGGCGUAUUAGCUAGUUGGUGAGGUAAUGGCUCACCAAGGCUGUGAUACGUAGCCGACCUGAGAGGGUGAUCGGCCACACUGGAACUGAGACACGGUCCAGACUCCUACGGGAGGCAGCAGUAGGGAAUCUUCCACAAUGGGCGAAAGCCUGAUGGAGCAAUACCGCGUGAGUGAAGAAGGUCUUCGGAUCGUAAAGCUCUGUUGUUAGAGAAGAACAAGAGGUGUAGUAACUGGCACCUCCUUGACGGUAUCUAACCAGAAAGUCACGGCUAACUACGUGCCAGCAGCCGCGGUAAUACGUAGGUGACAAGCAUUGUCCGGAUUUAUUGGGCGUAAAGCGAGCGCAGGCGGUCUUUUAAGUCUGAUGUGAAAGCCCACGGCUCAACCGUGGAGGGUCAUUGGAAACUGGAAGACUUGAAUGCAGAAGAGGAAAGUGGAAUUCCAUGUGUAGCGGUGAAAUGCGUAGAUAUAUGGAGGAACACCAGUGGCGAAGGCGACUUUCUGGUCUGUAAUUGACGCUGAGGCUCGAAAGCGUGGGGAGCGAACAGGAUUAGAUACCCUGGUAGUCCACGCCGUAAACGAUGAGUGCUAAGUGUUGGAGGGUUUCCGCCCUUCAGUGCUGGAGCUAACGCAUUAAGCACUCCGCCUGGGGAGUACG